GUUUUUUUUCCUUUGCUGAGAAUUGUUCCUGAAUCCUGUCCUUGCUGAAUAUUCGUAUUCCGGUUUGGACUGGCGAGCCAUUCCAUCAUUUUGUACCUGGAAACAGAGAAAAGCAUGUGAAAUCUGCCGAACUGGACACCUUUCCUAAAGCUUCAUCCUGUGGAGAUUACUGGAUGUACCUUGCGUUGUGUCACUUCGUCCCUGCCUUGAACACAUCCUGACAACUACGUCGUGAACAAAGAUCCGAUCUCAUAAUGGGAAAACGUUCUGCUGUCAAAUGCUCAUGGUCAUUUUGAGGUGCAGGUUGCCCUCGGUGCGAUCAGGGUUGAUGUCUCCCAGAAGCCUUGGCUGUAUUUCCGCAAGCUUCGUGUCAGCUGUACAUGGCCAAGUGCGCUUCACUUCAACCCACCAUGACAGAAUACUGGACCCUUAAUAACGAGUAUAAAAAAUGGACUUACCAGCCGUCCAGCUGCUCUGCAUGGAGCAAGAGCAGCAAUCCCUCAAGGUCCACACCAGUGGAUUUUUACAACUGGCGUGCUGAAAUAUCUUUCCGGACCAUUCUCUGUGCGUCUUCUUUUAUAUCAGCCUGAAUGAAGAAACGGAAGCAUGCCUGCCCGGUGUCAGUCCUCGGGGGAAUUUCGCUGCAUUUGUGGACUGGGUGCUGGUGAACAAUGGAUCUACGGAGGACAUCACCAGCCCCACUCCGGACUCAAAGCCCAGCCAGUUAUCACCCCACUGCACGGACAUGACGGCAGAGCCCACCGCAGAUGUUAAGCAUGAGCCUGUCCACGAGCCAGCGGCAGUAAAGAGGACUGAGCCAACCAUCACCCAGGAGCCCGGGCAUCAUGUCUGUCCAGGUAUGUGAGCCGGCAACAUCAUGUGCCACCGUGAGAGUAUUAGUGGUUUACGAGCAUUACGGGUAGUAAACUAGUAAAGGGGAUCCCCAGCUCUGCCUCCAGCAAGUAAUCCUGUCAUUCCACCGCGGCCCCUCGAACUGCUGACUCUGCCUUGGCUCUUCUAUCCUUCAGCUCCAUCCUUACGGCUCCACAGGGCUUCCUCUUCCCUCCAGCUCCGCCUUGGUCAGACAUCACUCUGUCUGCGUCACAAACUUACAGGCCUUUAGCUACACUUCGUCCCUUACCCCUUUCAGCUCCGUCGGGCUCCUUUUUCCUUCCGGCUCUGCCUUGGUCCUCAUUCCCACUGGCUCCGCCUCAGUCCUCUGGCACCCUGGCUCCACAUCAGAGGCUCAUCACUGUAGCUCCGCCUCCAGGACCAUUGGUGUUGCCUGGUUUCAUCUGCUCUCCGUCUUUAACUUGGGCUCUACCAAAAUCUAACCAAAUCACCACCAUGGCUCCUCUCUCCCUCGACUCUGCCGUGGGCCUUGGUCCUGGCUGUGGUCUAGGUCUAGGAGGUAGCAUGGCAAACAAACAGGGUCAUUAAUCAAAAUGACCACAAGCUGGAUUGAGGAGUUGUUUUUAAGGAUUUACCUUUCCAGCCAAGCACAUCACUUUUCAUUGGAUUAUCACUUUUGAGAACUUUGUAUAUACACCGGUGGACACUUGCACAUUGGGACUUUCAGCAUGCUAGGACUCUUAAGGACUGUUUUAUGGAAUGGAACCAAUGGACUCUAUGCUUUUAACAGCCUAAGUUUUCUAUUUUUGUGUUGUUUUAAGUUCCACGUGAAAGUUGUAAAUACACUAUUUAUUCACUUUA
This is a long non-coding RNA of Ctenopharyngodon idella (grass carp), 1713 nucleotides long. RefSeq lists it as uncharacterized. The transcript has 3 exons. The record is from RefSeq and is a predicted model, not a curated record. Lineage: Eukaryota; Metazoa; Chordata; Actinopteri; Cypriniformes; Xenocyprididae.